This is a long non-coding RNA of Rhineura floridana, 761 nucleotides long. RefSeq lists it as uncharacterized. The transcript has 3 exons. Lineage: Eukaryota; Metazoa; Chordata; Lepidosauria; Squamata; Rhineuridae. The record is from RefSeq and is a predicted model, not a curated record.
GACCAGGACUGGCACGCUGGGGAGACAGUCUGAGGUCAGGCAGUGAGUCCCAAGUCCUCCCACUUUCACAUCCAUCACUUCCCCUCCCCACUCCUGAUCAUUUGAACGCCUGUGGCAGAAGAAGGUGAAAGGCCCUCCUGGUUUAUCAGUGUUUUCUCUCUCUGCAAAACAGCAGCGCUUGUUCCUGAUUACUAACUAGACUGCUAUAAAAAGACUUUACAGCCAUUUGGGGGUUAGAAGGUAUACUGGAAGAGGAAAACAUGACCAUAUUCCAUCAGAUACAGUCGCUUCUGGCAUUCGUAGUUAUCGGAAGUGUCCCGGGGCUGCAGUUGAGAGGCUGCAUGUUUGACUGAACUCCUGCCCAAAACAACCUUCCUGCAAGUAGAAAAACAGCGUGUUUGGUGAAAGCCUAGUCUGAACUAGAGGUGCACACCAACUACAAGAUUUAGUUUGGACCCAAUUCAGCAUGUCAGAAAAGAGUAUGAUUUGGUCCAAAGCACAUUGAAGGCUUUCUAACUUUGCUGGAAGCUGAAUCCCAAUUCAGCAAAUAAAACUUCAUGCUUCCUUCAUUCACGAUUAUGGGGAAAUGCAAAAAUAGUGAUAACUUUUCUCUUUUACAGAAUUGGAUGAAAUUUGUAGGCAUAGCAAUCCCUCCUAUAUGUGUAAAGCCUGCCAAAUUACAGAGGGGCUUGUGCUGAACAUCUUUAAAGAAAAUUCAAAAAGCAACAGUCUAUAACUUUUUUAUUUUUGGCAGAAUUGGA